Long non-coding RNA from Leptopilina boulardi, 401 nucleotides. RefSeq lists it as uncharacterized. The record is from RefSeq and is a predicted model, not a curated record. Lineage: Eukaryota; Metazoa; Arthropoda; Insecta; Hymenoptera; Figitidae. The transcript is spliced from 2 exons.
UUGCUUUAAAUAGUUCCUUAGGGUCUCAGAAAUAACAUAUUGCAGGAUUAUGGCUCGGAAAAAUCUCUAAAUAAUUUAUUUUCGAAGUUCCUUGCAAGGCUGCACGGUACGCGGCGAGCUCAUUUUGUCAGUUCUACGGGGGGUGAUCUUUGAAGGAUCUACAGCAGGUAUACGGCAGAUGUUUUCAAAGGCGCUAGUUACUUGCUAGACUAUAGUGGUCAAUUAUAUGGUGCAGGCAUUGCAGAUUAAAGGAGCAGUUAGUUCGGCCACGUACCCCUUGAACCAUAGAGGAGUCGAAGGACGACCGCUACAGCGCCACCAUUCUUCAAGAAAUAUUUAUAAGAAAUUAUUUUUUUACACCUAAAAAGAUGUAUAAUAAACUUCUUAUAUUAUAUUUUUAA